GACGAACGCUGGCGGCGUGCCUAACACAUGCAAGUCGAACGGAAAGGCCCUGCUUGCAGGGUACUCGAGUGGCGAACGGGUGAGUAACACGUGGGUGAUCUGCCCUGCACUUCGGGAUAAGUCUGGGAAACUGGGUCUAAUACCGGAUAGGCGCCAUUUUUAGUGUGAUGGUUGGACAGUUUUUUCGGUGUAGGAUGAGCUCGCGGCCUAUCAGCUUGUUGGUGGGGUAAUGGCCUACCAAGGCGGCGACGGGUAGCCGGCCUGAGAGGGUGGACGGCCACAUUGGGACUGAGAGACGGCCCAGACUCCUACUGGUGGCAGCAGUGGGGAAUCUUGCACAAUGGGCGCCAGCCUGAUGCAGCGACGCCGCGUGUGGGAUGACGGCCUUAGGGUUGUAAACUCCUUUCGCUAGGGACGAAGCUUUUUGUGACGGUACCUAGAUAAGAAGCACCGGCUAACUACGUG
Molecule: ribosomal RNA, 465 nt
Filed under: uncultured bacterium
Lineage: Bacteria
Description: partial 16S ribosomal RNA
Rfam family: Bacterial small subunit ribosomal RNA
Source: RNAcentral